UGCCCCUGUGAUAGGCUCUUUCAUUUUGAGACCUUAAUAAACACCACAGCUCGCCGGAACAACUCUCUCUCUCUCUCUCUAUUUAUACAUACACACAGUUAUGGAUACAGUUUUACACAUACACGUAUAUGGAUUGCAUUUCUCAUUAUCGGCAGAUAUCAGAGGGUUGCUAGGCGACAGAGGUGAAUGCAAGAUGAGAGCAAUUGUGGAUUUUGUGUUAGGGUUUUGGUUGCUGUAAGGACCUUGUAGAGCUCUGCUUGCCGAUCCACGGUGUGUUGGCAUGUCUGUCGUGUGUUUGUUAGGCGUCCAUGGCCUGUCCAAAAGGAAAAAUAUUUGGCCACAUUUUUUGGCGUGUCCGUGUUCGACGCAUGUAUGACAUGGACACCUCGACCUUUAAGGUUGUGAAUCCUGUUGGAAGUGGACCACAGGAUCAGCUGUUUGGUGGUGGUAACUGACUAGUCACCAGCCUUGGACGUGGCAGCAAUUCUAGCCUUUGCCAGUGGACCUUGUAGCCAUCUUGACUAUACCUCGACCUAGAGCUGACAAGUGCAGGGCCCAUCAGUGAGGACACAAGCUGGUAAUGCAAAAACUCAAAUCAGUACACUGUGUCUUCUCUCAAUAACUGCUGUUGCACUUACCCAGCACAUACCUCUCUCAAGUCUCAACUGCUGCAAAAAUUAAUGAGAUGGACAAAUAUGGUACCAGACAUUGGAUGGGUAUGGUUUUCAGGGGGAUUAAUUUCUUUAUACAAGAAAACAAAGAAAAUUGGAUGUUUUUGAAGUUUGCUCAGACAGUGGGAGUGGGAAAUUAUGAACAAAAAGUCCAAUGGGGUGUUGGUUGUUUUUUUUGAAGGGAAUGGUUGGGAGGAGGGGGGCCUCUGUUGGGUCUGAUGGUUUGCAGAGCAAGAGGGAGGCCUGAGGCCCCCACUUUGGAGAGCACUCUCUCAUGUUGUGAGAAAAGGGGUACAAGUUUAAUGGUUGUAAUUGGUACACGGUGUUUUUCUUCCAGUGUUCCCUAUCUUCCAUCUGCCGCUUCUCAACACGGCCAUCUUCUGCCAUCCCAUUAAUAGUUGUGGUCCCGCUCUUUUUCAUACAGUACUUUCCCACACCCCCACAUACCCAUGAAGAUAACCUUUUCUAUAACAAGUAUGGAUGUGUAAAAUCCACUAAAUUUGACACACUGGCCGCUUCAAAAUCCAUUCCAAAAUUGCACAUGUGGGUUAACCCCAGCUAAACAAAUGAUGCAUAUUAGAGAGAGAAGGAAGGAAUGGGGGUGGGUUUGGUUGGUGGUGGUAAAGUGAUUCCUCCUGCCUUUGGUGCAUGGAUCGCCGACCUGGCCAAUGAGUCAGAGUCUAGGUUGAAACAACACGUAUCAGGAUGACUAUAUGUUAAGAGGCUCUUGUUCCAUGCCGAAUCUGGAUAGGCAAGAGCAUGGGCUUAUAUGGAUGAGUAUGUGGCACUAUUCAACAUCUUAAAUUUUUUGGUCAGAGAAUAAUUGUUCGGUCCGUUACAAUGGUAUCGAAGUCAAACUUAGUUCUUGAUCUUGUGUUAUCCCAAGCGCGUCAUCGGGAAGUGUUUAAGUCUUUGUUGAGUAAGCAAGGUGGUCCAACCACAAUGAGGGAGAAUGUUAGAGGUUCUUGUUUCACAUCGGAUUCAAAGGGAAAGGUUAUGGUUUUAUAUGGGAACGUCAAGCGCCCCUUUGGGAGGUGUUAGGGUCUCCGCCGGGUAGGCAAGGUGUUCCAACCGUAAUGGGAGGGUCCGGAUGGGGAAGGUCGUGGACUUAUAUGAGUAUGUCAAGUGCCUCGGGAGGUGUUCGAGUCUCCGUCAGGUAGGCAAGGUGGUUCGACAGCAACGUUGCGAGUUUGGGUGAUUGAGAAUGUUAGAGGUUUUUAUCUCACAUCGGAUUAGGAUGGGAAGGUAAUGGGCUUAUAUGGAAGUUACUGUGAUUUUCAAAUUAAAGACCAAAUUUUUUUUUUUUUUUUUUUUUUUAAGUUGGAGGGAAGAGAAGAGAGAGAUGAAGCAUCCCUCAUUUCUUUAUGUUUUUUUAUUCACCCAAUUUUGGAGGAAGAGAGGAGAGAGAGAAUGGAUAAUUACCUCUACAAAUAUUUAAUUUUUAAUUUUAGCCUUUCCAAAAAGAAUUAAAAUAGAUAUAUACCUUUUAUAAUUUUAUAUAAUGAGGGUGUAUUGGUAAAAAAAUAUAUUAAAGCUCUAUUUUCCUUCUAACAAAAAAAAAAAGUGUCACCAUAUUCUUUUUUAAUAUCUAUUCUAUUCAACCAAACAAAAAAUGGAAAGAUAUCUAAAAAAAUGAGAAGAUACAUUUUUCUUCCCUAUGGAUGUCUAGUCAAUCCCUCCCUCUCUCUCUCUCUCUCUCUCUCUUCCAUUCAUUUUCUCAUUCUGGAAGCCUUAUGAGCCAAAUGAAGCAUAAGAGCUGAAAUUGAAUAUAUCUUAAACAAUAUUUUAGGUUAUGAGUUUUCAAUUUAUUUAUUUAUUUAUUUUUAUUAUUAUUUGUUUCCUCGCCUACUGUAAAGUAUUGUUUUAGUUUGCUUCUCAAUUGAUACUGCAUUGUUGUAUAAUGCAUUAAUGUGUUUUAUGUGAUAUUUUUUUCUUUUU
Long non-coding RNA from Cornus florida, 2609 nucleotides. RefSeq lists it as uncharacterized. The record is from RefSeq and is a predicted model, not a curated record. Lineage: Eukaryota; Viridiplantae; Streptophyta; Magnoliopsida; Cornales; Cornaceae. The transcript is spliced from 4 exons.